This 364-nucleotide long non-coding RNA is filed under the name Elaeis guineensis (African oil palm). Its description in RNAcentral is "long non-coding RNA (EGUI_LNC033136)". The record is from RNAcentral. Lineage: Eukaryota; Viridiplantae; Streptophyta; Magnoliopsida; Arecales; Arecaceae.
AACCUAGAGCUAAAUCAUCUGAACCUAGAGCUAAAUAGGGUGAAAGCUAGCAAGAUAUUUUCUUAGUCUAUGCAUAGUCUGGGGACUUAGAUUCAUAUAAAACUUUAGAUGAGGAGAAAGAUGGUACCUUCGAUGUUUUUAGAGGAGAAACUGAUUUGAUCAAUGUUUAAUUUAUAUUGUGCAUGAAAUUCAAGAACUUUUCCCUGCUAAAAGCAACAAUAAGAUAGCAUGCAAUAAAUAGGGGGCACAAUGUGAAGUUGGUGAAAAAUGACAAGUUGAGGGUACAAGCAAUAUGCCAUGACAAAUAUAGAUGGAAACUACAUGCUUUUUUGAUUAUGCAUUGAUCUAUUGUAUAGAUUUAGUC